RNAcentral lists this ribosomal RNA (445 nucleotides) under uncultured bacterium. RNAcentral describes it as "SSU rRNA". It matches the Rfam family "Bacterial small subunit ribosomal RNA", at positions 26 to 518 of the family's 1533-position model. The record is from RNAcentral.
AGAGCGAACGCUGGCGGCAGGCCUAACACAUGCAAGUCGAGCGCCGUAGCAAUACGGAGCGGCAGACGGGAGAGUAACACGUGGGAACGUACCCUUCAGUUCGGAACAACCCAGGGAAACUUGGGCUAAUACCGAAUACGUCCGUAAGGAGAAAGAUUUAUCGCUGAAGGAUCGGCCCGCGUCUGAUUAGCUUGUUGGUGAGGUAAUGGCUCACCAAGGCUACGAUCAGUAGCUGGUCUGAGAGGAUGAUCAGCCUCACUGGGACUGAGACACGGCCCAGACUCCUACGGGAGGCAGCAGUGGGAAUAUUGGACAAUGGGCGCAAGCCUGAUCCAGCCAUGCCGCGUGGGUGAUGAAGGCCCUAGGGUUGUAAAGCCCUUUCGGCGGGGAAGAUAAUGACGGUACCCGCAGAAGAAGCCCCGGCUAACUUCGCGCCAGCAGCCGC